This is a long non-coding RNA of Gordionus sp. m RMFG-2023, 639 nucleotides long. RefSeq lists it as uncharacterized. NCBI's taxonomy places the organism in Eukaryota, Metazoa, Nematomorpha, Gordioida, Chordodea, Parachordodidae. The transcript has 4 exons. The record is from RefSeq and is a predicted model, not a curated record.
GUAAUCGAUCCAAUAGUAAUCACCUGCAUUCAUACACUUACCAUUUCAUUCACUUCACAUUUCAUAGCAAUGAUAUCCAGCAACCAAAUUAUUCAACAAAACCCAACUACCAAUAUAAGAAAAAACAAACCAAGUUAAAAAGCAGAAUAAGCGAAUUGCUUUGUUAUCAUCAUUCCAGAGGUAUGUGAUGCUAUAUGGAAAACUUUAAAAGAUAUUCAUAUGCCAGUUCCAACUAGAGAACAUUGGGAGAAGAUUGCAUAAAAAUAUUUUGACCUGGCUCAUUAGAUGGUAAGCACUUUAUAUCAAAAGUUAGAAAAACCAAUAUCAAACACCUUAAAAAACUAUGAAACCUUAUCCUAUGAAAAAUACCAGUCCAGAAGAAAAACAUUAUAAGUUAAGAUUCCUAGGUAUAUGAGAAUUUAUUGUUAUUCUUAUCUACAUAAAAUAAUAUAUAUAUAAAUAACAUAGUAAAUUAUUAUGUCACAAAAAAAUAGGGUAUAAAUUUACUUAUAAAAAUCUAAAGUCUGAUAAAAUGGAAAAUAUAUAACUGAGCCAUGAAAAUUUUUGUAUCCAGUGUCUUAAUUUAUUAGGUAUACAUAACAAUUAAGAAUGAUUGUUAAGGGAGAAGUUAAAAGAGUA